This 210-nucleotide long non-coding RNA is filed under the name Capsicum annuum. RNAcentral describes it as "long non-coding RNA (CANN_LNC019389)". Lineage: Eukaryota; Viridiplantae; Streptophyta; Magnoliopsida; Solanales; Solanaceae. The record is from RNAcentral.
AUUAUUGGUUUGGUUAUAUUUUAAUAAAAAAUCGAACCAACCUGACCUAUGUACCCCUAUACAAGAGGGUCGAAACCAAAGAAAUUUGACUCUUAGAAACCGAAAGGGUGUCACGUAAAUAUAAUUAGAGACCGUGCAAAAGAUACGUGACAAGCGUGUGAAUCUGAGAGAGCAAAAAGAAACAGUUGCGAUGAUGGGGUUCAAAUGGAC